UACAGAGGGGGCAAGCGCUGUUCGGAAUUACUGGGCGUAAAGCGCGCGCAGGCGGAUCCUGCAAGUCCGGAGUGAAAUCUCACUGCUCAACGGUGAGGCUGCUUUGGAUACUGCGGAUCUGGAGACCGGUAGAGGCUGGUAGAAUUGCAGGUGUAGCGGUGGAAUGCGUAGAGAUCUGCAAGAAUACCCGUGGCGAAGGCGGCCAGCUGGGCCGGUUCUGACGCUGAGGCGCGAAAGCGUGGGGAGCAAACAGG
Molecule: ribosomal RNA, 254 nt
Filed under: uncultured bacterium
Lineage: Bacteria
Description: partial 16S ribosomal RNA
Rfam family: Bacterial small subunit ribosomal RNA
Source: RNAcentral